Molecule: ribosomal RNA, 750 nt
Filed under: uncultured Rahnella sp.
Lineage: Bacteria; Pseudomonadati; Pseudomonadota; Gammaproteobacteria; Enterobacterales; Yersiniaceae
Description: bacterial SSU rRNA
Rfam family: Bacterial small subunit ribosomal RNA
Source: RNAcentral
GCGAACGGGAUUAGAUACCCUGGUAGUCCACGCCGUAAACGAUGUCGACUUGGAGGUUGUGCCCUUGAGGCGUGGCUUCCGGAGCUAACGCGUUAAGUCGACCGCCUGGGGAGUACGGCCGCAAGGUUAAAACUCAAAUGAAUUGACGGGGGCCCGCACAAGCGGUGGAGCAUGUGGUUUAAUUCGAUGCAACGCGAAGAACCUUACCUGGCCUUGACAUCCACGGAAUUCGGCAGAGAUGCCUUAGUGCCUUCGGGAACCGUGAGACAGGUGCUGCAUGGCUGUCGUCAGCUCGUGUUGUGAAAUGUUGGGUUAAGUCCCGCAACGAGCGCAACCCUUAUCCUUUGUUGCCAGCGAGUAAUGUCGGGAACUCAAAGGAGACUGCCGGUGACAAACCGGAGGAAGGUGGGGAUGACGUCAAGUCAUCAUGGCCCUUACGGCCAGGGCUACACACGUGCUACAAUGGCGCAUACAAAGAGAAGCGAACUCGCGAGAGCAAGCGGACCUCACAAAGUGCGUCGUAGUCCGGAUCGGAGUCUGCAACUCGACUCCGUGAAGUCGGAAUCGCUAGUAAUCGUAGAUCAGAAUGCUACGGUGAAUACGUUCCCGGGCCUUGUACACACCGCCCGUCACACCAUGGGAGUGGGUUGCAAAAGAAGUAGGUAGCUUAACCUUCGGGAGGGCGCUUACCACUUUGUGAUUCAUGACUGGGGUGAAGUCGUAACAAGGUACCAAGGGCGAAUUCGCGGC